RNAcentral lists this ribosomal RNA (301 nucleotides) under uncultured bacterium. RNAcentral describes it as "partial 16S ribosomal RNA". It matches the Rfam family "Bacterial small subunit ribosomal RNA", at positions 509 to 807 of the family's 1533-position model. The record is from RNAcentral.
CAGUCGCCACGGUAAUACGAAGGGGGCUAGCGUUGUUCGGAUUUACUGGGCGUAAAGGGUGCGUAGGCGGACUGAUAAGUCAGGGGUGAAAUCCCAAGGCUCAACCUUGGAACUGCCUUUGAUACUGUUAGUCUUGAGUUCGAGAGAGGUGAGUGGAACUGCGAGUGUAGAGGUGAAAUUCGUAGAUAUUCGCAAGAACACCAGUGGCGAAGGCGGCUCACUGGCUCGAAACUGACGCUGAGGCACGAAAGCGUGGGGAGCAAACAGGAUUAGAUACCCCGGUAGUCCCUGUCUCUUAUAC